This 253-nucleotide ribosomal RNA is filed under the name uncultured bacterium. RNAcentral's name for it is "partial 16S ribosomal RNA". It matches the Rfam family "Bacterial small subunit ribosomal RNA", at positions 524 to 776 of the family's 1533-position model. The record is from RNAcentral.
UACAGAGGGGGCAAGCGUUAUUCGGAAUUAUUGGGCGUAAAGGGCGCGUAGGCGGCUUGGCAAGUGGAAGGUGAAAUCCCUCGGCUUAACCGAGGAACUGCCCUCCAAACUGCUUUGCUUGAGGCCGGGAGAGGUGAGUGGAAUUCCCAGUGUAGCGGUGAAAUGCGUAGAUAUUGGGAGGAACACCAGUGGCGAAGGCGGCUCACUGGACCGGUUCUGACGCUGAGGCGCGAAAGCUAGGGGAGCAAACGGG